This 82-nucleotide transfer RNA is filed under the name Echinostoma caproni. It matches the Rfam family "tRNA". Rfam says of the family: Transfer RNA (tRNA) molecules are approximately 80 nucleotides in length. Their secondary structure includes four short double-helical elements and three loops (D, anti-codon, and T loops). Further hydrogen bonds mediate the characteristic L-shaped molecular structure. tRNAs have two regions of fundamental functional importance: the anti-codon, which is responsible for specific mRNA codon recognition, and the 3' end, to which the tRNAs corresponding amino acid is attached (by aminoacyl-tRNA synthetases). tRNAs cope with the degeneracy of the genetic code in two manners: having more than one tRNA (with a specific anti-codon) for a particular amino acid; and 'wobble' base-pairing, i.e. permitting non-standard base-pairing at the 3rd anti-codon position. Lineage: Eukaryota; Metazoa; Platyhelminthes; Trematoda; Plagiorchiida; Echinostomatidae. The record is from Rfam by way of RNAcentral.
GACCUCGUAGCUGAGCCGGUAGAGCGUGCGCGUUCAAAGCGUAAACGGCGUACAUGUGUGGGUUAGAAUCCCACCGAGGCUA